RNAcentral lists this long non-coding RNA (836 nucleotides) under Catharus ustulatus (Swainson's thrush). Its description in RNAcentral is "lncRNA (ENSCUSG00005002394.1)". The record is from RNAcentral. Lineage: Eukaryota; Metazoa; Chordata; Aves; Passeriformes; Turdidae.
UGGACGGACUGGAUUGAUGUGAGUUACCCAAAUGGUUCCGACAAGAACAGUGGUGACUACGAAACCUUUGAGAACAUUGGGCAGAAAUACCCCUCCUGGGAGUGUGCAAAAGUUGAGAAUAUUUCAUGCCGAGCACAGAAAUUCCCUAACAUUCCUAUUGCAGAUUUAGGGCAGAAAGUGGAAUGUAGUGUAGAUGUAGGGCUCAUCUGUAACAACAAAGAUCAACCAAUAGGAGGUAUAAUUCCAAUGCCAGUCUGCCUCAACUACGAGAUCAGUGUCUGCUGCACCCCCAACUACCCAGAGUGUUUUCCAUCUCCCACCCCGACCACCACUACAACUACCACAACACCGAUCAGCACGACCCCUCCCACUACCACUACCACCACAGGAGGACCAACAACAACAACAACUGUUACAACAACAACCAGCACAGAGAGCACAACAUCCUCUACAACGGAAUUGCCAACCAUUUCCUCAUCACCAGAGACUCCCACCACGACCACCGGUACAACUACCACCACACCCACCAGCACCACUACCUCUCCCACCACCACAACCAGUGGACCAACGACAACAACUGUUGCAACAACAACCACCACAGAGAGCACAGCAUCCCCUACAACGGAAUUGUCAACCAUUUCCUCAUCACCAGAGACUCCCACCACGACCACCGGUACAACUACCACCACACCCACCAGCACCACUACCUCUCCCACCACCACAACCAGUGGACCAACGACAACAACAACUGUUACAACAACGCCCCCCCCAGGUAUGUUCCAAAACCAAAUAAUUCCUGCUAAAAGCCCUGUGCCUCCAACUACAGUAGCAACAGA